UACGUAGGCAGCGAGCGUUGUUCGGAGUUACUGGGCGUAAAGGGUGUGUAGGCGGUUAUUUAAGUUUGGUGUGAAAUCUCCCGGCUCAACCGGGAGGGUGCGCCGAAUACUGAAUGACUUGGAGUGCGGGAGAGGUGAGUGGAAUUCCUGGUGUAGCGGUGAAAUGCGUAGAUAUCAGGAGGAACACCGGUGGUGUAGACGGCUCUCUGGACCGUAACUGACGCUGAGACACGAAAGCGUGGGUAGCAAACAGG
RNAcentral lists this ribosomal RNA (254 nucleotides) under uncultured bacterium. RNAcentral describes it as "partial 16S ribosomal RNA". It matches the Rfam family "Bacterial small subunit ribosomal RNA", at positions 524 to 776 of the family's 1533-position model. The record is from RNAcentral.